AGGCAAACCUAUGGAAACAUAGGGACGCAAAGCUUGAAGUCUAAGUGCUGGUAGGUUCUGUGUAAGAUAGUUCGGCUGC
Molecule: non-coding RNA, 79 nt
Filed under: human gut metagenome
Description: Cyclic di-GMP-I riboswitch
Rfam family: c-di-GMP-I riboswitch aptamer
About the family: GEMM was predicted in a large-scale screen for bacterial structured RNA regulatory elements. Genes associated with GEMM are involved in a diverse array of functions, including chemotaxis regulation, signal transduction, secretion and chitin.
Source: RNAcentral